UACGUAUGGUGCAAGCGUUGUCCGGAAUUAUUGGGCGUAAAGAGCUCGUAGGCGGUUUGUCGCGUCUGCUGUGAAAACUCGGGGCUUAACUCCGGGCCUGCAGUGGGUACGGGCAGACUAGAGUGCGGUAGGGGAGACUGGAAUUCCUGGUGUAGCGGUGAAAUGCGCAGAUAUCAGGAGGAACACCGGUGGCGAAGGCGGGUCUCUGGGCCGUAACUGACGCUGAGGAGCGAAAGCGUGGGGAGCGAACAGG
This 253-nucleotide ribosomal RNA is filed under the name uncultured bacterium. Its description in RNAcentral is "partial 16S ribosomal RNA". It matches the Rfam family "Bacterial small subunit ribosomal RNA", at positions 524 to 776 of the family's 1533-position model. The record is from RNAcentral.